Herpailurus yagouaroundi (jaguarundi) is the source of this 1487-nucleotide long non-coding RNA. RefSeq lists it as uncharacterized. The record is from RefSeq and is a predicted model, not a curated record. NCBI's taxonomy places the organism in Eukaryota, Metazoa, Chordata, Mammalia, Carnivora, Felidae. The transcript is spliced from 3 exons.
AUUGUCUCCCUGUGGCAAUUGCCUAUUAAUGCUGGCCUGCACCAAGAUUGGACUAAACGGUCCAUUCUCAGAAGUGAUGAAAGCCCUGGAGAUCAGACCUGAAAUGACACACUUCUUGUACCCACCUUGACUCACCGCGUGGGCUACGCCGCAGGCUCAUGUCCCAGCACCCAAGAACAGCAUUCUCCGAUUCCAGUCCAGGGCUCCAGAACCUACUUCAAAAUGGGACAGGAUCCCUCCAGCUCCCCCACCAUAACCAUGCACACAGCCCUCCUCUUCCAGGGGCAGAAGUCAAUGUAGACACAGAAAACCAAUCCAAGGACAGAGACCACCGGGAUAAUUUAAUUCUGUUUUUCAGCGGUCACCACCAGAACCCAGGAUGUCCAGCUCAUCCCUUAUCUCCAAUUCUCUUCUUUGUACAGCUCAGAUGUCACCUAUCAGUGAGGCUACCCCUGGAAAAGUACAGCCUCCCCACCAUUUCCUCCUACCCCCGCCCCGCCACACCCUAUUGAAUGCAGUCUACUUUUCCGCCAAGAAAAGUUUCAGAAAAGCACUUCUUCUCCCAAAUUCUCUUGAGAUGUGACUCAGACAAUGUCACCCUGCCAACUUCUUGGAGUCCUUCCUUCAGGAAACCAGACUUCCGGCCCCUCCCCCAGUUCUGGGAGCCAAGGAGCUCUGUUGGGUCAGUAGGAUCAUUGUGGGAAGCAGCCAUCAUCACAUCCCUCAUGUGGGGGCCAGCACAGCAGUUAGGACAAGGCAAUUGUCAAAGAUCCCCAUCAGCCAAAUUCGGAGCCCCUUGGACGCGUGGAAUAGUAAUGAGGUAUAAACCUCUGCUUGUUCCCCCAGUCUCCAGCCCAGGUUGCAGAGGACCCACAGACAUGCCGAACAGGAAAGCUGCAGAACAAGGGAAGCAGCUUCUGAUUGGGAAAGUGAAAGGCACCACAAGCCAAAAAGCUCCAAUUACUUGUAGGGGCUGGCCUGGGAGGCCACAGCCAACUGCUUUCAGCUGGGAGACAUUGGAGAGCGUGUGGAGACAUGGAAAGUGAAAUCAGACCCUUCUGUUCCUCUGGCCUCCCACGCUGUUGGCUGCUGCUCAUUCAGUCACCCACCCCAAGGAGGAAGUCACCUGCUGCCCCCGCCACAAACACUUCCUAGACCCAGGGAUCACAGAGUAAGACCAGCACUUCUUCCAGGCCUGCUCACCUGCUGCUGGGAAGGGGCCUCACCUACCUCUUUGGCCCCUUUUCCCUGGUGCCACCAGAUCCCCAGGCUGAAAGCUUCAAGCCCAGUAGGCACCCGGGCACUGUGGUGGACAUUGCCAGGCUGCUGAUGGAGCAGGAAGAGGCAGGGUCCUUGCUCUUCAAGGUCCAUCAGAAGCACCUGGAGGACAUAAAGCUGUUGGCAAGCACCAGGAGGCCCACACUCUGCAAGGUUUGCCCAGCCAGCUGAGCAGAGUGAGGGUCCCCAUUCACAUGGGUCAGCACACG